Molecule: ribosomal RNA, 1261 nt
Filed under: Listeria monocytogenes
Lineage: Bacteria; Bacillati; Bacillota; Bacilli; Caryophanales; Listeriaceae
Description: partial 23S ribosomal RNA
Rfam family: Bacterial large subunit ribosomal RNA
Source: RNAcentral
UUGGUUAAGUUAGAAAGGGCGCACGGUGGAUGCCUUGGCACUAGGAGCCGAAGAAGGACGGGACUAACACCGAUAUGCUUUGGGGAGCUGUACGUAAGCGUUGAUCCAGAGAUUUCCGAAUGGGGGAACCCACUAUCUUUAGUCGGAUAGUAUCCUUACGUGAAUACAUAGCGUGAGGAAGGCAGACCCAGGGAACUGAAACAUCUAAGUACCUGGAGGAAGAGAAAGAAAAAUCGAUUUCCUGAGUAGCGGCGAGCGAAACGGAAAGAGCCCAAACCAAGAAGCUUGCUUCUUGGGGUUGUAGGACACUCUAUACGGAGUUACAAAAGAAAGUUAUAAAUGAAGCGGUCUGGAAAGGCCCGCCAAAGACGGUAACAGCCCGGUAGUUGAAAUGGCUUUCCCUCCAGAGUGGAUCCUGAGUACGGCGGAACACGUGAAAUUCCGUCGGAAUCCGGGAGGACCAUCUCCCAAGGCUAAAUACUCCCUAGUGACCGAUAGUGAACCAGUACCGUGAGGGAAAGGUGAAAAGCACCCCGGAAGGGGAGUGAAACAGUUCCUGAAACCGUGUGCCUACAAGUAGUUAGAGCCCGUUAAUGGGUGAUAGCGUGCCUUUUGUAGAAUGAACCGGCGAGUUACGAUUUGUUGCAAGGUUAAGCGGAAAAAGCGGAGCCGUAGCGAAAGCGAGUCUGAAUAGGGCGCAUAAGUAACAGGUCGUAGACCCGAAACCAGGUGAUCUACCCAUGUCCAGGAUGAAGGUAAGGUAAUACUUACUGGAGGUCCGAACCCACGCACGUUGAAAAGUGCGGGGAUGAGGUGUGGGUAGCGGAGAAAUUCCAAUCGAACUUGGAGAUAGCUGGUUCUCUCCGAAAUAGCUUUAGGGCUAGCCUCGAGGUAAAGAGUCAUGGAGGUAGAGCACUGUUUGGACUAGGGGCCCUUCUCGGGUUACCGAAUUCAGAUAAACUCCGAAUGCCAUGUACUUAUACUCGGGAGUCAGACUGCGAGUGAUAAGAUCCGUAGUCGAAAGGGAAACAGCCCAGACCACCAGUUAAGGUCCCCAAAUAUAUGUUAAGUGGAAAAGGAUGUGGGGUUGCUUAGACAACCAGGAUGUUGGCUUAGAAGCAGCCACCAUUGAAAGAGUGCGUAAUAGCUCACUGGUCGAGUGACCCCGCGCCGAAAAUGUACCGGGGCUAAACAUAUUACCGAAACUGUGGAUGAACCUCUUUAGAGGUUCGUGGUAGGAGAGCGUUCUAAGGGCGGUGAA